RNAcentral lists this ribosomal RNA (253 nucleotides) under uncultured bacterium. RNAcentral describes it as "partial 16S ribosomal RNA". It matches the Rfam family "Bacterial small subunit ribosomal RNA", at positions 524 to 776 of the family's 1533-position model. The record is from RNAcentral.
UACGGAGGGUGCAAGCGUUAUCCGGAUUUACUGGGCUUAAAGGGUGCGCAGGCGGAUAUGUAAGUCAGGGGUGAAAUCUCUGGGCUUAACUCGGAAAUUGCCAUUGAUACUAUAUAUCUUGAAUGCUGUGGAGGUAAGCGGAAUAUGUCAUGUAGCGGUGAAAUGCUUAGAGAUGACAUAGAACACCUAUUGCGAAGGCAGCUUACUGGGCAGAUAUUGACGCUCAUGCACGAAAGCGUGGGGAUCAAACAGG